This 5876-nucleotide unclassified non-coding RNA is filed under the name Leishmania donovani. RNAcentral's name for it is "gene:LdHU3.36.7770(CDS-product:isoleucyl-tRNA_syn thetase_putative)". Lineage: Eukaryota; Euglenozoa; Kinetoplastea; Trypanosomatida; Trypanosomatidae. The record is from RNAcentral.
CACGCUCCGCACCGACGACAGUCAAGCUACACCUAACGCUAACAGCCAAAACCCCGACUUCACCGCCCGCCACUCUCUCUAUCCGCCGUCCCCGAAUUCCUCCUCGUCUCUCGCACAACCGACGUUGUCGUCUCACAUGGCGGGCGAAGGUCAGCAGCAGCAGCAGCAAGACCCCCCAGCGGGGCAUCAGGGCGUACCGGUGACGAACUAUCCCGAUGUGCUCGACUUCUCGAAGAUGGAGGAGGAGGUGCUGGCGAUGUGGCGGGAGAAGGAUUGCUUCCGCACUUCCAUGAAGCUCUCCGAGGGCCGCCAGCCGUUCAGCUUCUACGACGGCCCACCGUUCGCGACUGGCCUGCCGCACUACGGCCACAUCUUGGCUGGCACCAUCAAGGACAUGGUCACUCGCUUCGCCUACCAGACGAACCACCACGUCAUCCGUCGCUUCGGCUGGGACUGCCACGGUCUGCCGGUGGAGUACGAGAUCGACAAGAUGCUCGGCAUCAAGACGUCUCACGACGUGGCGAAGCUCGGCAUUGACAAGUAUAACGACGAGUGCAAGAAGAUCGUCACCCGCUACGUGGACGAAUGGAGGAAGACCGUCGAGCGCGUUGGCCGCUGGAUCGACUUUGACAACGACUACAAGACGAUGCACCUCACAUACAUGGAGAGUAUCUGGUGGGUUUUCUCGCAGCUGUGGGAGAAGAAGAUGGUGUACCGCGGCUUUCGCGUGAUGCCGUACUCGACCGCCUGCACGACGCCGCUGAGCAACUUCGAGGCUAACUCCAACUACAAGGAGGUCAGCGACCUCGCCGUGACGGUCGCCUUCCAGGCCCGCGCCGACCCCAACACAUACUUCCUGGCCUGGACCACCACGCCGUGGACGUUGCCGAGCAACCUCAGUUUGUGCGUGCACCCCGAGCUGGACUACGUGAAGGUGCUGGACAACAAGUCGAAGCGACACUACUGGCUCGCAGAGGCCCGCCUGGCGGAGGUGUACCCGAAGAAGGACAGCAAGAAGGCCUCCAAGGCGAAGGACGUGGACAACGCCGCGGAGGCCGAUGCCGCGCCGUACACGGUCGUCGAGAAAGUCAAGGGCGCGCAGCUAGUGGGCGAGAAGUACGUGCCACUUUUCCCGUACUUUGAGUCGUCCAUGAGCGCCACGGCCUUCCGCGUCAUCUCCGGUACCUACGUGACGACAGACGCUGGUACAGGUAUCGUGCACCAGGCCCCCGCUUUCGGUGAGGAUGAUUACCAGGCGUGCCUCGACGCCGGCAUCUUCGAGAAGGGCGGCAAGUUCGUCUGCCCGGUCGACGAGAACGGCAUGUUCACGAGCGAGGUGACGGAUUUCGCCGGCAAGUACGUCAAGGCGGCGGAUCCGGAGAUUAUCAAAGCGCUCGAGACGAAAGGGCACCUCUUUCACAAGGCGUCGAUUGUGCACAGCUACCCCUUCUGCUGGCGCAGCGACACCCCCCUCAUCUACAAGGCUGUCGAGUCGUGGUUUGUCAACGUCGAGGCCUUCCGCGACCGCCUCAUCGAGUGCAACGACAAGACGUACUGGGUACCUGAUUUUGUCAAGACCCGCCGCUUCUCCAACUGGCUCGCCGAGGCGCGUGACUGGAACGUGUCACGCAACCGUUACUGGGGCACGCCGAUGCCGGUCUGGCACAGCGAGGACUGGGAGGAGGUUGUGUGCAUCAGCAGCAUCAAGCAGCUCGAGGAGCUCUCCGGCGUCACCGGCAUCACCGACAUCCACCGCCAGUUCGUCGACGAUAUCACGAUCCCAAGUAAGCGGCCUGGCAUGCCGCCGCUGAAGCGUGUGCCGAUGGUGUUUGACUGCUGGUUCGAGUCCGGCUCGAUGCCGUACGCCCAGGAGCACUUCCCUUUCGAGAACCAGGAGAAGUUCAAGAGCCUGUUUCCGGCCGACUUUGUGUCGGAGGGCUUGGACCAGACGCGCGGCUGGUUCUACACCCUUCUCGUGCUCGGCGUUGCCCUCUUCGACGUCUCCCCUUUCCGCAACGUCGCCGUCAGCGGGCUCGUGCUCGCCGAGGACGGUAAGAAGAUGAGCAAGCGCCUCAAGAACUACCCUGAGCCGAAGGUGGUGAUCGACACGUACGGCGCGGAUGCCCUGCGCAUGUACAUGAUUAGCUCCCCGGUUGUGCGCGCCGAGCCGCUGCGCUUCCGCGAAGCAGGUGUGAAGGCCGUGGUCAAGGACAUCCUUCUGCCUCUGUUCAACGCCGCGAAGUUCUUCAUCUCGAACACAAACUACUGCACUGCGGCCGGUGGUCAGGUGUCGCUGCAGGUUCGCAGCACAAACGAGAUGGACCGCUGGAUUCUCGCCUCGUGCCAGAGUCUGCUGCGCUACGUGAAGGCGGAGAUGCGGCUGUACCACCUGUACAACGUCGUCCCCGGCAUUCUGCGUUUCGUCGGUGACCUGUCCAACUGGUACGUGCGCAUGAACCGCCGCCGCAUGAAGAACGCCACGGACAGCGAGGACCGCUCGCAGGCGCUGUCGACGAUGCUGUACCUCCUCUUCUCGGUGUCCCGCAUUGUGGGCCACAUCGCCCCCUUUGUGGCAGAAAUGCUUUACCAGCAGAUCAAGCCCCUCCUCCCGGCGAACGAGCAAGUGGACUCCGUGCACUACCUCAUGAUCCCCGACGAGGAUACCUCCUUGGACGACCCGGAGCUGGAGCGCGCCAUGUCCCGCAUGAUGAACAUUGUGGAUUUGGUGCGUGUGUUGCGCGAUCAGAUGGUCAUUCCGAUCAAGCGGCCGGUGCGUCAGGUUGUCAUUGUUCACCCGGACCAGCAGUACAUCGACGACGUGCGCAAGGUGGCGGGCUACAUCAAGGAUGAGGUGAACGCGUUCGAGAUUGUGAUGUCGAGUGGCGAGAAUUACCUGGAGACGAAGCUGGACGCAAACUUCGAGGUGCUUGGCAGGAAGUACCGCAAGGAGAUGCCCGCGAUCCGCAAGGGUAUCCAGGCCAUGACGCAGAAUGAGGUGGCCAAGUUCCUGCACGACAAGAAGGGCGUCGUCGUCGGCAAGGAGCUGACCAUCGAGGACGUGAAGGUGCUGCGCCAGGUAAAGGAGGGCAUUGCCGACUUCCAGAGCAACACUGACAACGACGUCGUUGUGCUGGUUGACAAGCGCCAGGAUCAGGAACUGAUUGACUCGUGGCGCGCGCGUGAGUUCGUGAGCCGCGUACAGCAGCUGCGUAAGAAGGCGAAGCUAGUGGUGACGGACGAGGUGGAUGUGUACUUUGAGGCGGAGGAGGCGGAUCUGACGGCGUCCAUCCUCCACUCUAAGGACCAGAUUAAUCAGACACUGAGGGGCGUGUGGACGACGAUGGACCAGAAGCCUAGCGACGCCGAGCUCGUCGCGGAGGAGGACAAUAACAUCUCGGGGGUGGCGGUGCGCCUCGUCUUCACCAAGCCCAAGGCUUAAAGUGCCGUAUGAAGAGGGUGGGUGGGAUGCAGGCCCUGCAGCAUUGGCCGCCAAAGUGGAUACCGAGCCCCCCCCCGACACGCACCCACAUCCAAGAGGAGGUUCGUCUCUUCGUUGAGCAUAGAGACGACCUCGCCAUGUCCGGUAGCUGCUGUCACGCCAACCAUUUCCUGCAUGAGUCUUCUACUGCCCCACUCACUCACCUACCCACCCUCCCUCCCACCCCACAAACGCACAUUCUGUCUUUGUUGUUUGCUCGUAUGACCCUUUACGUCUUACAAUUAUGAUCAUAUCUUGUCGUUUUCGUGUUUGUGUUGCUGGUGUGGAUGUGGCCCACCUCUGUGGUUAACUAACUCGGAAGCAGAGACUCGGUGAUUUUUCCCUAUUCACUCCGCCGUCUCUCGUCUUCUUUUUAAAAAGCCUUUUCUUUUGUUGUUGUUUUCUCUCUGUGCUCCACCUAAGCUCUGACAAACUCUCAAGCGUGCGCGCACGCCACACAGACACACACACACGCACACGCACACAGAGACAGACUCACAAACACGCUCCGUUCCCUCGCCUCUGUCCGUAGGUGUUGUGCAUUUCUAACGCGGUCAGCUCGAGUUCUUAUAUUUUUGUUUCUCGUUUCCUUUUUUUUUGUAGUGUUUGUGUUCUUUGCGUGCGUGCGUGCGUGCGCGUGUGUGUGUCUGUGCUCAGAGUGACCUCGUCUUCUUUUUUUUCUGUUCCCUGUGGAGAACCAGAUGGCGAAAAAGGGAGAAAGAACGAGAAAGAAAUCGGCACAUAUUGUGAAGCGAAUCGCCAGCCAUCGCCACCAGUCAGACCUCUGAUCCGCUCCAAUACAUGUAGAAAAGGGAGCGUCCAUAAAAUCAACUGCGGCCAAGUCACGGCGCAGUGCAGGCGGGCACGCGUGAACGUCGUCGUUGUCCGAUUCGCUUUUACUAUGAUUCUCUUCUUUGCCGCUUUUCCUUUCCGUUUCAGUGUUAACAUGGUAAGGAAACGCAGUGUGCCGUUACCUCCGUAGCACGUGCAUCGGUUAAAGUAACGAGUACUGUAGCACACAUCAAAACAUGACCACUACCACUCUGUGAUGCGCUGAGGGGGCAACGUGUCCCCCGCUGGAGAUCGAUUGUGUCUGUGCGCGCGCUCAUGACCAUGUGGUGAGGAACCAGUACGUCUGCGUAUCUUCGCCCUGUCGCCUUUUUCAUAAUGUUUUUUGUUUCUUUCGGUUUUCUAUGUUGCCAUCUAAUGGAUAAGUCGCCCACUCAUCUUCACUCCAUCUUUAUCGUUAGAGGUCUGCUAGAAGGUUACACUCGCUUACAUGCGCCUCCUGCUCACUCGAACUCACGAAGAGGAAGAAACAAACUUUUCGGGUUUUUUUCUGGUGUCCCCUCUCCGUCCCCCCCCCACCUCCCCGCUCCCUAAUCCUCCUCCUCGGAUUGCCUCUGAUGACACGAUCGUUGUGCCGUUGUCGUCGUGCUGCUUGUUUGUUGUUGUGUGCGUCUUUCUGUGGACGCUGGGUCGUUGUCGAACGCUCAUGAGGAGGAGCCGCUGCAGUCGUCGAGGAUAGCGGUGCAAGGGCACGUCCUCGCCGUUGCAGUGGUGCUUCUCAUCCCUUUCGGUCCUUGUGCGGCUUGCAGAACGUAAUGAGCGGUGUGGCGCGCUCGCUGAUAGCCUAAAGUGGAAAUGUCGCACGCAAAAAAAAAGAUAUUCAAGGUGGAAUGGAAUGUGUAGGAUGUUUGUUGUUGGCCCGGAGGUAGUGGUGGUGGUCUCUUGUGUUGUAUGCAUGGCGUUUGGUGAUAAUUAUCGUGAUCCUCUCUCUCUGUUCUCUCCUCUCCUCUCCUCCUCCUCCUCCACACCUCAAGUGCUUAUUAUUAUAUAUAUAUAUAUAUAUAUUUGCAGGUUGGUGUGCGUAGUUGGGAAGGGGGGAGCGGGGAGGUGAACGCACGGACGAGAGCAUAAUAGUGUCGCAUGCUUUUCCCCUUCGCCCCUGUGAGAAUCAGGCGAUCAAAAGAAGAGGUCACCGAGUGCGCGCUGUGGGAAAAAAAGCGACAAUCAAGGGAAUGCAGGCUGGCGACAACAACGCGUCUCGGCGCCAACGCGUGUGAAGCGCGGACGACGGUGUUUCCAGAGGGGAACACACACACACACACACAAAAAGAGGUGCGUCUUUUUAGUGGUGCCGUUAUGACUUAAGAGGGUAAAUGGGGGCUUUGCCGCAAGGCUUGUUUGCGACACACUCUACGCAAUGCAAGGAUGCGGAUCUGCCGAGACCGGUGGCCCAUUUGCCUUGUCGUAGUUCGUGACGUAAGCUCUUCACAGAAGAUGUUUUUUUUUUUUAAUCACCCAUUUCUUCUUCGCUGCUAUUCUCAUCUUCUCUCCCACCUGUCGCCUUCCCUCUGCUGACAUCCACCUUUUCUUUCGUCGCACGCCGUCAAAG